AACGUAGGAGACAAACGUUAUCCGGAGUUACUGGGCGUAAAGGGCGUGUAGGUGGUUUCGUAAGUCUGGCGUGAAAUUUUUCGGCUUAACCGGGAAAGGUCGUCGGAUACUGCGGAGCUAGAGGACGGUAGAGGCGUGUGGAAUUCCGGGUGUAGUGGUGAAAUGCGUAGAGAUCCGGAGGAACACCAGUGGCGAAGGCGGCUCACUGACCCGAUACUGACGCUGAGGCACGAAAGCGUGGGGAGCAAACAGGG
RNAcentral lists this ribosomal RNA (254 nucleotides) under uncultured bacterium. Its description in RNAcentral is "partial 16S ribosomal RNA". It matches the Rfam family "Bacterial small subunit ribosomal RNA", at positions 524 to 777 of the family's 1533-position model. The record is from RNAcentral.